RNAcentral lists this ribosomal RNA (465 nucleotides) under uncultured bacterium. Its description in RNAcentral is "bacterial SSU rRNA". It matches the Rfam family "Bacterial small subunit ribosomal RNA", at positions 338 to 795 of the family's 1533-position model. The record is from RNAcentral.
CCUACGGGCCGCAGCAGUAGGGAAUCUUCGGCAAUGGACGAAAGUCUGACCGAGCAACGCCGCGUGAGUGAAGAAGGUUUUCGGAUCGUAAAACUCUGUUGUUAGAGAAGAACAAGUAGGAGAGUAACUGCUCUUACCUUGACGGUAUCUAACCAGAAAGCCACGGCUAACUACGUGCCAGCAGCCGCGGCAAUACGUAGGUGGCAAGCGUUGUCCGGAUUUAUUGGACGUAAAGCGAGCGCAGGCGGUAUUUUAAGUCUGAUGUGAAAGCCCUCGGCUCAACCGAGGAAGGUCAUUGGAAACUGGAGGACUUGAGUGCGGAAGAGGAGAGUGGAAUUCCAUGUGUAGCGGUGAAAUGCGUAGAUAUAUGGAGGAACACCAGUGGCGAAGGCGACUCUCUAGUCUGUAACUGACGCUGAGGCUCGAAAGCGUGGGGGGCAAACAGGAUUAGAUACCCGCGUAGUC